This 364-nucleotide ribosomal RNA is filed under the name Lanice conchilega. RNAcentral describes it as "partial 16S ribosomal RNA". It matches the Rfam family "Bacterial large subunit ribosomal RNA", at positions 1959 to 2517 of the family's 2925-position model. Lineage: Eukaryota; Metazoa; Annelida; Polychaeta; Terebellida; Terebellidae. The record is from RNAcentral.
GCGUGAUAAUUCGCCCUUUAAUUGUGGGCUAGAAUGAAAGGACAAACGAAAGAUUAACUGUCUCUAUACUAUCAAUAAAAAUUGACCUACAGGUGAAGAGACCUGUAUAAAAAUAAAAGACAAGAAGACCCCGUAGAGCUUCGUUUUCUCUUAAGCUACUUCUAUAACUAUUUUAUUAGUUAAGCCACACCUUAAUAAAAACUUAGCUGGGGCGGCUAAGGAGAACAUAAUCCUCCAUUUUUAACUUUUAGCUUUACAAGGCUUAUAAGCCUACUUCUAUAAUGACCCUUCGCAGAUCAAAAGAUAUAGCUACCUCGGGGAUAACAGAUUAAUCCUUCUAGAGAGCUCACAUUGACAGAAGGGA